RNAcentral lists this ribosomal RNA (452 nucleotides) under uncultured bacterium. Its description in RNAcentral is "bacterial SSU rRNA". It matches the Rfam family "Bacterial small subunit ribosomal RNA", at positions 365 to 807 of the family's 1533-position model. The record is from RNAcentral.
UUCGCAAUGCCCGAAAGGGUGACGAAGCGACGCCGCGUGUGGGAAGAAGGCCUUCGGGUUGUAAACCACUGUCGGGAGUUGAGAAAUGCAAGAAUGUUAAUAGCGUUUUUGCUUGACUAAGGCUCCGGAGGAAGCCACGGCUAACUCUGUGCCAGCAGCCGCGGUAAUACAGAGGCGGCAAGCGUUGUUCGGAAUUAUUGGGCGUAAAGAGCACGUAGGCGGCUAUAUAAGUCGGUUGUGAAAGCCUUCCGCUCAACGGGAGAACAGCAUCCGAUACUGUGUGGCUUGAGUGCGGGAGGGGAGAGCGGAACUUCUGGUGGAGCGGUGAAAUGCGUAGAUAUCAGAAGGAACGCCGGCGGCGAAAGCGGCUCUCUGGCCCAUAACUGACGCUGAGUGUGCGAAAGCUAGGGGAGCAAACGGGAUUAGAUACCCCGGUAGUCCUAGCCGUAAAC